UGGCAUCGUGUCACCCGUUGGAACAACCAUACUACUUCCACCACGGUCUUCGGGGUAGUCAUUCUCGACUUUGCUCUCUUAGCCAGACAUUAGCCUAAAAUCAAAAGAUCUCGGACAAGAAAAGAGUGAAGGAUGAAGUGUGUUUAUAUGACGAAACCAUCAAGAAAAUAAUCACUAUUAUUUUUAUCCCCACGGUGGGCGCCAAACUAUUUACCAUGAAAAUGGUAACAACAAUAAAAUUUGUAAAAGGGAUUCUAAAAAUACGUGAUCUAUUAUCAAGCUAGUUUCGAGGGAGUUUAUGUUGAGAUUAUAUAGUAUAAUGGUAAAACAUGAGUUAAAUGGAGGUAGUAAGCAAAUCGAAGGGGCCUAUUGCUCGAGCGUAGAGAAGA
RNAcentral lists this long non-coding RNA (389 nucleotides) under Nicotiana benthamiana. Its description in RNAcentral is "long non-coding RNA (NBEN_LNC023239)". Lineage: Eukaryota; Viridiplantae; Streptophyta; Magnoliopsida; Solanales; Solanaceae. The record is from RNAcentral.